Molecule: ribosomal RNA, 892 nt
Filed under: Botryosphaeria dothidea
Lineage: Eukaryota; Fungi; Ascomycota; Dothideomycetes; Botryosphaeriales; Botryosphaeriaceae
Description: SSU rRNA
Rfam family: Eukaryotic small subunit ribosomal RNA
Source: RNAcentral
AAAAAACCAAUGCCCUUUCGGGGCUCUUUGGUGAUUCAUGAUAACUUAACGAAUCGCAUGGCCUUGCGCCGGCGAUGGUUCAUUCAAAUUUCUGCCCUAUUAACUUUCGAUGGUAGGAUAGAGGCCUACCAUGGUAUCAAUGGGUAACGGGGAAUUAGGGUUCUAUUCCGGAGAGGGAGCCUGAGAAACGGCUACCACAUCCAAGGAAGGCAGCAGGCGCGCAAAUUACCCAAUCCCGACACGGGGAGGUAGUGACAAUAAAUACUGAUACAGGGCUCUUUUGGGUCUUGUAAUUGGAAUGAGUACAAUUUAAAUACCUUAACGAGGAACAAUUGGAGGGCAAGUCUGGUGCCAGCAGCCGCGGUAAUUCCAGCUCCAAUAGCGUAUAUUAAAGUUGUUGCAGUUAAAAAGCUCGUAGUUGAACCUUGGGCCUGGCUGGCCGGUCCGCCUCACCGCGUGUACUGGUCCGGCCGGGCCUUUCCUUCUGGGGAUCCGCAUGGCCUUCACUGGCUGUGUCGGGGAACCAGGACUUUUACUUUGAAAAAAUUAGAGUGUUCAAAGCAGGCCUUUGCUCGAAUACAUUAGCAUGGAAUAAUAGAAUAGGACGUGCGGUCCUAUUUUGUUGGUUUCUAGGACCGCCGUAAUGAUUAAUAGGGAUAGUCGGGGGCAUCAGUAUUCAAUUGUCAGAGGUGAAAUUCUUGGAUUUAUUGAAGACUAACUACUGCGAAAGCAUUUGCCAAGGAUGUUUUCAUUAAUCAGUGAACGAAAGUUAGGGGAUCGAAGACGAUCAGAUACCGUCGUAGUCUUAACCGUAAACUAUGCCGACUAGGGAUCGGGCGAUGUUAUUCUUUUGACUCGCUCGGCACCUUACGAGAAAUCAAAGUCUUUGGGU